This 918-nucleotide long non-coding RNA is filed under the name Pan troglodytes (chimpanzee). Its description in RNAcentral is "long non-coding RNA NONPTRT001528". The record is from RNAcentral. Lineage: Eukaryota; Metazoa; Chordata; Mammalia; Primates; Hominidae.
UUCCAGAGCCGUCGGCCUGUCUCCAAGCAGAGCAGCAGCUGGGGACUCCUGAUCAGGUGACCUGGGCACACCUGCUGGAGAAGGCCCAGGAGCGGCAGAUGAUGACCUUCCCUGACCUUCUUAACGUCAACGAGGACCCUCAGCUCACCAGGGUGCUCAAGUACUUCAUUCAAGCUGGUUCAUGUGACGCUGGUCGGGCUGUCUCAAAUGCUAUCACGAUUCAAGGUUUGGGUGCUUGGAGCCCUGACCCACCAGACUACAGAAAGCCCAGACUGUGGAGUGACCCCUGGGGCUCCCUCAGGAGGCCCCUGCAGGAGCCCUGGGAAACCCCAUGCCGGGCCUCACCCAGUCAAGAGCUGUCCCCAGCUCUGUGGCUGCCCUGCCUGGGAGGCUGCUGCUGGAGUGUCUCCAGCUGGGAAGCACCAUCACCUGCGUCCUUCAGACAGAUCACCCCCAUCCCCGUACGAAAGCCCACGGGCCGUCGUGGCUGGAGGGGUGCUGACCCAGGGGCUGGCUGGCCCCGCCUCGUCCUGCACUGCCAGCCUCCUUCUUGGGACAUCUUCCUGGGGAUCCCCCUCAAGUCCCUUUCCAGAACACGUCCUUAGUCCAACACACAGAAUUUCAGAUAAACACGCUUCCUUCACAAAUGCCGACGGUAAAGUGAUGGUCACUCCACACAGCAAAUGCAAGGUUGCCGUUAAUGGGGUGCCCAUCACCACCAGGACAAAGCUGCAGCAUUUGGACCGCCUGAUUUUGGGAUCCAACAGCACCUACCUGUACGUGGGGUUUCCUUCGGAGUGGGGCAGUGAGGACCUGAGCAGGUUCGAUUACGACUUCUUCCAGCUGGAGAGGGCGGCUGCGGAGGGAGCGAGUGCAGACAAACUCGGUGCUGCGGACGGUGGAGACGGCAAGGCAGGC